AUUGAACGCUAGCGGGAUGCUUUACACAUGCAAGUCGAACGGCAGCGCGGACUUCGGUCUGGCGGCGAGUGGCGAACGGGUGAGUAAUGUAUCGGAACGUGCCCAGUAGCGGGGGAUAACUACGCGAAAGCGUAGCUAAUACCGCAUACGCCCUACGGGGGAAAGCAGGGGAUCGUAAGACCUUGCACUAUUGGAGCGGCCGAUAUCGGAUUAGCUAGUUGGUGAGGUAAUGGCUCACCAAGGCGACGAUCCGUAGCUGGUUUGAGAGGACGACCAGCCACACUGGGACUGAGACACGGCCCAGACUCCUACGGGAGGCAGCAGUGGGGAAGUUUGGACAAUGGGGGCAACCCUGAUCCAGCCAUCCCGCGUGUGCGAUGAAGGCCUUCGGGUUGUAAAGCACUUUUGGCAGGAAAGAAACGUCGCGGGCUAAUACCCCGUGGAACUGACGGUACCUGCAGAAUAAGCACCGGCUAACUACGUG
This 484-nucleotide ribosomal RNA is filed under the name uncultured bacterium. Its description in RNAcentral is "partial 16S ribosomal RNA". It matches the Rfam family "Bacterial small subunit ribosomal RNA", at positions 30 to 507 of the family's 1533-position model. The record is from RNAcentral.